UUGCUCCUUUGACGUUAGCGGCGGACGGGUGAGUAACACGUGGGUAACCUACCUAUAAGACUGGGAUAACUUCGGGAAACCGGAGCUAAUACCGGAUAACAUUUGGAACCGCAUGGUUCUAAAGUGAAAGAUGGUUUUGCUAUCACUUAUAGAUGGACCCGCGCCGUAUUAGCUAGUUGGUAAGGUAACGGCUUACCAAGGCGACGAUACGUAGCCGACCUGAGAGGGUGAUCGGCCACACUGGAACUGAGACACGGUCCAGACUCCUACGGGAGGCAGCAGUAGGGAAUCUUCCGCAAUGGGCGAAAGCCUGACGGAGCAACGCCGCGUGAGUGAUGAAGGGUUUCGGCUCGUAAAACUCUGUUAUUAGGGAAGAACAAAUGUGUAAGUAACUGUGCACGUCUUGACGGUACCUAAUCAGAAAGCCACGGCUAACUACGUGCCAGCAGCCGCGGUAAUACGUAGGUGGCAAGCGUUAUCCGGAAUUAUUGGGCGUAAAGCGCGCGUAGGCGGUUUCUUAAGUCUGAUGUGAAAGCCCACGGCUCAACCGUGGAGGGUCAUUGGAAACUGGGAAACUUGAGUGCAGAAGAGGAAAGUGGAAUUCCAUGUGUAGCGGUGAAAUGCGCAGAGAUAUGGAGGAACACCAGUGGCGAAGGCGACUUUCUGGUCUGUAACUGACGCUGAUGUGCGAAAGCGUGGGGAUCAAACAGGAUUAGAUACCCUGGUAGUCCACGCCGUAAACGAUGAGUGCUAAGUGUUAGG
Molecule: ribosomal RNA, 762 nt
Filed under: Staphylococcus saprophyticus
Lineage: Bacteria; Bacillati; Bacillota; Bacilli; Caryophanales; Staphylococcaceae
Description: bacterial SSU rRNA
Rfam family: Bacterial small subunit ribosomal RNA
Source: RNAcentral